Molecule: ribosomal RNA, 323 nt
Filed under: uncultured bacterium
Lineage: Bacteria
Description: bacterial SSU rRNA
Rfam family: Bacterial small subunit ribosomal RNA
Source: RNAcentral
GAUAAACGCUGGCGGCGUGCAUAACACAUGCAAGUCGAACGAUGAAACUUAACUGAUUUCUUCGGAAUGAAUUUAAGUGGAUUAGUGGCGGACGGGUGAGUAACGCGUGAGUAACCUGCCUUGCACAAGGGGAUAGCCGUUGGAAACGACUGCUAAUACCGCAUAAUGCUUUUGAGCGGCAUCGCUUGAAAGCCAAAGAUUUAUCGCUGAAAGAUGGUCUCGCGUCUGAUUAGCUAGUUGGUGAGGUAACGGCUCACCAAGGCGACGAUCAGUAGCCGGUCUGAGAGGAUGAACGGCCACAUUGGGACUGAGACACGGCCCAA